UACGUAGGCGGCCUUUUAAGUCAGGUGUGAAAGCGUGAGGCUUAACCUCAUUAAGCACUUGAAACUGGAAGACUUGAGUGAAGGAGAGGAAAGUGGAAUUCCUAGUGUAGCGGUGAAAUGCGUAGAUAUUAGGAGGAAUACCGGUGGCGAAGGCGACUUUCUGGACUUUUACUGACGCUCAGGUACGAAAGCGUGGGGAGCAAACA
RNAcentral lists this ribosomal RNA (206 nucleotides) under uncultured bacterium. RNAcentral describes it as "partial 16S ribosomal RNA". It matches the Rfam family "Bacterial small subunit ribosomal RNA", at positions 568 to 774 of the family's 1533-position model. The record is from RNAcentral.